AUGGAGACCCAGCAGGAGCCGACCAAAGCGGGCGAGCCGGCCGGCGGCGGCGCCGGAGUUCUCGAGAAUGGACCUCCGGCGCCAUCAACAGCACAGCAAGGACCUGCAGCCCCUCCGGGUUCAGCAACUGACAGAGAUGCGGUGCUUGCCAAGGUGGAGAUGAAUCGGAAACUGUCCAUGGUUAAGGCGUGGGAGGAGAACCAGAAGAGCAAGGCCGACAACAGGGCCGAGCACAAGAUGUCGUCUAUCCUAUCAUGGGAGAAUACCAAGAAGGCCGCGGUCGAAGCCAAGCUCCGAACACGGGAGGAGAAGCUGGAGAAGAAGAAGGCGGAGUACGCGGAGCAGAUGCGGAACCGGGUCGCCAUGAUCCACAAGGAGGCGGAGGAGCAGCGGGCCCUCGUGGAGGCGAGGCGGCAGGAGGAGAUGAUCAAAUACCAGGAGACGGCGGCCAAGCACCGCUCCAAAGGGACCACGCCCGCCAAGAAGUUCCUCACCUGUUUCGGAUGA
RNAcentral lists this ribosomal RNA (507 nucleotides) under Triticum aestivum (bread wheat). RNAcentral's name for it is "partial small subunit ribosomal RNA". The record is from RNAcentral. Lineage: Eukaryota; Viridiplantae; Streptophyta; Magnoliopsida; Poales; Poaceae.